ACGUAGGAUGCGAGCGUUGUCCGGAUUUAUUGGGCGUAAAGAGUUCGUAGGCGGUUUGUUAAGUCUGAUGUUAAAGACUGGGGCUCAACCUCGGGACUGCAUUGGAUACUGGCAGACUGGAGUAUGGUAGAGGCAAGUGGAAUUCCCAGUGUAGCGGUGAAAUGCGUAGAUAUUGGGAAGAACACCGGUGGCGCAAGCGACUUGCUGGGCCAUUACUGACGCUGAGGAACGAAAGCUAGGGGAGCGAAUGGGAUUAGAUACCCCAGUAGUCCUAGCCGUAAACGAUGGAUACUAGGCGUAUCGGGUAUCGACCCCUGAUGUGCCGCAGCUAACGCGAUAAGUAUCCCGCCUGAGUAGUACGGCCGCAAGGUUG
This 373-nucleotide ribosomal RNA is filed under the name uncultured bacterium. Its description in RNAcentral is "bacterial SSU rRNA". It matches the Rfam family "Bacterial small subunit ribosomal RNA", at positions 525 to 896 of the family's 1533-position model. The record is from RNAcentral.